AAGACCUUGCGCUUUUGGAGCGGCCGAUGCCUGAUUAGCUUGUUGGUAAGGUAAAAGCUUACCAAGGCUUCGAUCGGUAGCUGGUCUGAGAGGACGGCCAGCCACACUGGGACUGAGACACGGCCCAGACUCCUACGGGAGGCAGCAGUGGGGAAUUUUGGACAAUGGGGGCAACCCUGAUCCAGCCAUGCCGCGUGAGUGAAGAAGGCCUUCGGGUUGUAAAGCUCUUUCAGCCGGAACGAAACGGUUACGGUUAAUACCCGUGAUUACUGACGGUACCGGAAGAAGAAGCACCGGCUAACUACGUGCCAGCAGCCGCGGUAAUACGUAGGGUGCGAGCGUUAAUCGGAAUUACUGGGCGUAAAGCGUGCGCAGGUGGUUUUGUAAGUCAGAUGUGAAAGCCCCGGGCUCAACCUGGGAACU
This 423-nucleotide ribosomal RNA is filed under the name uncultured bacterium. RNAcentral's name for it is "bacterial SSU rRNA". It matches the Rfam family "Bacterial small subunit ribosomal RNA", at positions 207 to 622 of the family's 1533-position model. The record is from RNAcentral.